CAAAAAACCAUCUAUCCUGUCGUUCCUCCGAAACGCUUCGACAUCUACAAGGACAUCUGAUUUCCCCCCCCCCUACUCAUGAUGCAUCUUUGUAUGCCAGCCUGGUAAAAUUCAUCACCAACCCCUUUAAAAUUCCUGGUUAUUCUCGACAUGCAACUCCUGAUCGAUGAGGUCAGAAGUGAGAAAGUACACAUUGAAAAUUCUUAUAAAGUAUAUUCAAAAGAUGUAUCUACAAAUUGACACUUUUAAUCGAUCGAAGCGUGUUACGGAGUCCUCCGCUAGGCUAAACCUCGAAAAGGCAUUUGACUUUUCUUAUGUCUCGGAGCGGAGCCGAUUCGAGGCAACCCUCCUGUAUUGUACGAAGAAAAGCGGUAUACACUGCCGUGUCGGCGGAUCAAGGUAUAUCAAAACAAGCGGUGAUCACGUUCUCACGAGGUGAUCUCUAGUCCGGAUACAGUGAAGCGCGAACACAUGUGUUAAAACAUAAACAAUACUUUCAGCGAGCUAUAUAUGGGCAAUUAUAAAGUUAUUGGUUCUAACACCAAUAACCGCAUGUAUCGGUGUGAGUAAUCGAGGAAAGUCGAGUCGUCCGCGAUAUACGAUAUAUAUAGCGUAAAACCUUCGAUGUAGAAGAUUUUAGGAUCGACACGCUCGCGAUAGACGUAAUCGGAACGCCGAAGUUGCUCCGAAGAAAUCCCGCUGGCGCAGAUUGAGCGUUUACAUAGCCGUGUAACAACAAAUAAAGCGUGCGACACCUUGAGAAUACUUCGCGUUUCGCAUUUGGUCCUUUCGACCGUCCGUGAUCAAUCCUUUCUCACUUCGAGUAUUUCAGUUAUCCCUUGAAUCCUUAACAAAGCGGAACUGCAAGAUCCGAAAGUCCUUUAUUGAUUGUUAGGACGAAAGGAAACUAUUGUUGGAACUAUUUUACAGAGAUUUUCAAGAUGGUCGCGACAAAGAAAGCCUGAAAUUUCACACGAGGCGACAGCGAUCUUUCGACAGCGGGAACGAAAUCUACAAUGAAAUCUACGUCCGACGUUCUCUUACCAGCGUCGUGUAGAAGAUGCACACCGCGCAGACCAGCAGGGCGAUCGUGUAGAGGUCGAUCCCGGUAGCCUGAUUGAAGGCUAGCGCCGUUUUUUGGCCGUAGAAUCACGUGGUGAAUUCGUUGUUGCCAAGGCUUUCCUAAGACUGGAAACUUUUGGACCGUAUCACGUAGCUUCGAUCGUGAUACCUCAUAGGACGACGUAAUUCGUAGCCCAUAGAAGACCGGCAAGUAAACGACCACCAUCGUCACGGAAACGAAGGUGUCCGCAAUCACGACGGACCACAAUUGCGUGCCGUACACGUACAUUUCGGCCGGCAAUCCCAGCAUCGCUAUGCC
Long non-coding RNA from Harpegnathos saltator (Jerdon's jumping ant), 1381 nucleotides. RefSeq lists it as uncharacterized. NCBI's taxonomy places the organism in Eukaryota, Metazoa, Arthropoda, Insecta, Hymenoptera, Formicidae. The record is from RefSeq and is a predicted model, not a curated record. The transcript is spliced from 3 exons.